Molecule: long non-coding RNA, 845 nt
Organism: Gavialis gangeticus (Gharial)
Lineage: Eukaryota; Metazoa; Chordata; Crocodylia; Gavialidae
Exons: 3
Source: RefSeq, a predicted model, not a curated record
GCUUAAGGGCGCAGGUAGUUUUCUUCUUGGUCCUCCCAGUUGCAGGUCAUGGGUACAGGGGGGAUAGAUGCAUAGAAGAAGUAAACAGAAGAUUCCAGCAAUGGUGCUACCGUGAUAGCUUCGGUUUCUUCGACCAUAGCAUGCACCUCAGGGACUGUGGCCUGUUGGGAAGAGAUGGUAUCCACCUCAUGCCAAAGGGGAAGAAGCUUUUCUUGGCUAGAAUGGCGGACCUUCUGGAUAAGGCAUUAAACUGAGAUCAUUGGGGGAUGAGUCAUCAACCACUAGCACAAGCCCAAGAAAUGGCAACCUUGAAACCAGCAUCUCAGGGUACAAUAGGAAACAUUCUCCGACACCAGCCAAUGGACAGGUUAUUCCACAGCUCACCAGGAAGCUUAGGGCCUCCAGUGGCAGGCUUAGCUACCUGUACACUAAUGCCAGAAGCAUGGGAAACAAGCAAGAGGAACUGGCUCUCCUCCUAUCCAACAACCAAUAUGACCUCAUAGAGAUUACAGAGACCUGGUGGGACUCCAUCUAUGAGUGGACCACAGGCAUAGGGGGAUACACCCUAUAUGGAGGGAUCCUGGAGAACCUGCUCAUAAACAGACACUCAGACCCCACAGUCAAGGACUGUACUAAAAUGGGACUAAGUGAAAUGUACCGCUACUACAGGCAGACAAAAGAGGAUGACGGGAAGGAAAUGGUGGACCCCAUAUGGUGGAGAGUGGUUUGGCAUAGACUUUUUCAGGGGCAGGCCCUCUGAGGAUGGCAGUGGGUGAAGGUACAGGUAUGGAGAUGGGUGCGCGGGCACGCAGAUAUGUGGUGCAAACUGUGUAACGGAUUUUUAG